Non-coding RNA from Macaca mulatta (Rhesus monkey), 1127 nucleotides. The record is from RefSeq and is a predicted model, not a curated record. NCBI's taxonomy places the organism in Eukaryota, Metazoa, Chordata, Mammalia, Primates, Cercopithecidae.
GGGCGCAGAGGCGACGCUGGCAGCAGUCUCUUAGGAGAUUUCUCUGCAGUGUGGACGGGGGUCAGGAUUUGCAGGCGAGCAAGGGCAGAGAGGAGAAAUCGUACAGAGUGAUGCCAAUUUGUACUGCACUGUGAAGAUUCAGAAACAGAGAGAAAAAGCUGGUGCUAAAUCUGAGCUGGAUUUGGAAGUACUCAAAAGAAUCUACUAAGAAUGUGAUAUCCCAGUGAUCUUGAAAGAUACAGAAGAGAAUAGGACUGGCUGAAAAACACUCAGAAUGCUGUGUCUGAUAAUUGGGAGUAGAACUUCUGAAGUCUAAUGAUCCAGGCCAGAUUUAAAUCUUAACUUUUCAUCAGCCUUCAGUGUUUUUAAUCCAAGGAAUAAUUAUCUUCCUGUAUUUCUAUUUCUUAGAUCAGAAUUUUUAAAUGCCAACCUCAUUAAUUUUCUAAGAUUUAAGUUGAAACAAUGUACAAUGUUGUAUAUCCUAACUUUCCUACAAGGGGCAGGAAGCAAGGUUAUGUGCAUGGCCACGUGUUUGUAGGUACAUGUGUUGAAAUAGGAAGUAUCCUAGUAUGUAUUUAGAUAAGAAAAACUUACAUACUAGUGUUGACUUUGAAAUUAUAACAUUUAUACCUACAUAUUCUUUGUGUUUAUUUUAAAGUUUUGAAAAUAUACAGGACUAUUAAUAAAAAAGAACGUGAUAUCAAUUUUAUGAAAGCCCUCACCUGAGGAUGCUGGGGACUUAGUAUAGUGUGCAAGAUAUUUAAUGGUAUGAGGCAUCAUCUAUAGCAGUGGUUCCCAACAUUUUAAAAUAUAAGGUACAUUUUGGAACUAAGAAAAGCAUCACCAGGUAUUGUGUGCUGGAAGUUGUACUGUUUUCAUCUAUUGAUUGACGAAUAACCUAGUGAUAAUGCCUAUUCUUAGUAAUGCUUUAAGUUGUAUUUACAUGUUAUCAAUAAUGACAGAAUCAGCAUGUUUUUGUAAAAGUAUAAGAGCUAUGUAUGAGGGGAAUGUUAUCCAUGCCAAUCAUGCUUGGCCUGCAUUCUAAACUUGUAAAUCCUUUAAUGGCUUGUCACCUACAGACCAAACCGUGCUGACUUAGAUUAAAAACAUAUCAUUGAUGAUAGGAA